UUGGCGGACGGGUGAGUAACGCGUGGAUAACCUGCCGUAUACAGGGGGAUAACACUUAGAAAUAGGUGCUAAUACCGCAUAAGCGCACGGUUCCGCAUGGAACAGUGUGAAAAACUCCGGUGGUAUACGAUGGAUCCGCGUCUGAUUAGCCAGUUGGNGGGGUAACGGCCCACCAAAGCGACGAUCAGUAGCCGGCCUGAGAGGGUGAACGGCCACAUUGGGACUGAGACACGGCCCAAACUCCUACGGAAGGCAGCAG
RNAcentral lists this ribosomal RNA (259 nucleotides) under uncultured bacterium. RNAcentral describes it as "partial 16S ribosomal RNA". It matches the Rfam family "Bacterial small subunit ribosomal RNA", at positions 95 to 354 of the family's 1533-position model. The record is from RNAcentral.